Molecule: non-coding RNA, 381 nt
Organism: Nylanderia fulva
Lineage: Eukaryota; Metazoa; Arthropoda; Insecta; Hymenoptera; Formicidae
Source: RefSeq, a predicted model, not a curated record
UUUUAAUGCGCGCAUGUGUGCUGCAUUUUGUUUUUGGCGCCCUUAUGAUACGGAAGUAUGACGUGUUUUUUUACUUCCACGAUUUUUUGUUUUCUUUUCCUGCCUGGUACAGCAUGCAAUGUGCGCGCGUACUAGAGUGUCUAGCAUAUAUAAGGGAAAUUUUCGAAAAAUAAUGGUCAUUGAUUCAACAAGAAAAGUAAUUUUCACUGACACUUUGACAGAGUGGAAAAUAUUUGGCGCUAAAUAGGACUUCUGAAAGAUAUCAACAGGGACUAUAUAACAGGGAUUAUAUAAACAAUCGACAGCAGAGAUUAAUAAUUACGGAUUUGCGCGCGACUUAAAUGGUAAAAAAUAGAUAAUUGUAUUAACAAAAUGAACAAU